RNAcentral lists this ribosomal RNA (565 nucleotides) under uncultured bacterium. RNAcentral describes it as "bacterial SSU rRNA". It matches the Rfam family "Bacterial small subunit ribosomal RNA", at positions 338 to 916 of the family's 1533-position model. The record is from RNAcentral.
CCUACGGGAGGCAGCAGUGGGGAAUUUUCCGCAAUGGGCGCAAGCCUGACGGAGCAACGCCGCGUGAGGGAUGAAGGCCUCUGGGCUGUAAACCUCUUUUCUCAAGGAAGAAGACCUGACGGUACUUGAGGAAUAAGCCACGGCUAAUUCCGUGCCAGCAGCCGCGGUAAUACGGGAGUGGCAAGCGUUAUCCGGAAUUAUUGGGCGUAAAGCGUCCGCAGGCGGCCUAUUAAGUCUGUCGUUAAAGCGUGGAGCUCAACUCCAUUUAAGCGAUGGAAACUGGAAGGCUAGAGUGUGGUAGGGGCAGAGGGAAUUCCCGGUGUAGCGGUGAAAUGCGUAGAUAUCGGGAAGAACACCAGUGGCGAAGGCGCUCUGCUGGGCCAUAACUGACGCUCAUGGACGAAAGCCAGGGGAGCGAAAGGGAUUAGAUACCCCUGUAGUCCUGGCCGUAAACGAUGAACACUAGGUGUCGGGGGAAUCGACCCCCUCGGUGUCGUAGCUAACGCGUUAAGUGUUCCGCCUGGGGAGUACGCACGCAAGUGUGAAACGUCAAAGGAAUUGACGG